This is a long non-coding RNA of Armigeres subalbatus, 1678 nucleotides long. RefSeq lists it as uncharacterized. The record is from RefSeq and is a predicted model, not a curated record. Lineage: Eukaryota; Metazoa; Arthropoda; Insecta; Diptera; Culicidae. The transcript has 4 exons.
AUGUUCCCCCAGCAAACAAAAUGUGAGUCGUGAGGCAUUCGUUAGGGACUAGUGAGUGACUGAAAAUAAAAAAAAUAAAAAAACAAACGUUUGAUUGAAGCGUUUGAACCGUGUUGAUCUUAUUAUUAUUUUUUCACCGAUGCGCCAGACGUUAGUCUUUGCGAGAAAAAAAAACAUGUCGUCGGCGAAAUCGGUGUCUGGUUGCAAUUUCGUUCUCUUUGUGCAAAAUAUUAAAUAAAACGUCGCGAAUUGUGUCGGAAAAGUAAAACGCGAGUGGUUCAUAGGCUUGUACAUUGAAUUUUGUGCUUGUCAAUGCGUGCCGGUAACGAAAAUAUGAUCGGAAUACUUGGGUUCGCGGUUGCAAAGGACGGGCGAUCGUCGUAAUGUAAAUAAUGGAAAUCAGUUAGGUGCAUGGUGCUGAUGAUGACAAUGGUGCUGUCUAUUUGGGCAAGACGGUACCCAUUAUCCAACGCCGUUGUAAUAGUCAUUGAUAAGAAGAUCGCGAGAAAGUGUUACUGUUUAGAUAUUACCCUGUUGAGGAGUGUUAUUGUUUGUAAAAUUGUGAUAGUGCGUACUCCGGGGAAAGAACGGGGUCAGAUUGCAAAUAUCCCGUGAUUCUGAAAUGAAUGCUUGCGCCCAACGAAUUGUGUAUUUGGUGUGACCGGAAAAUAAAGAUCAACCAGACGAAGAAAGAUCUGGCCAAGCAGGAUAGAAGAAAGUCUGAUCGACUGCCAAAUAAGUGAAAAUGGAAGAUCGAAGUAAAAUGUGUUUAAUUAGAGGGAAUGUUUGAGAGUUGACCACUCAAUCAAGAGCAAUUUCAUUCUAUACCACUUACCAUGUACCGUCCCAAGCUGCUUAACCUUGGAGCAUCCUUAAACGAUUUACCAAAGGACAAAUUCGAAUGACACUUCAAUGCCCAGCAUUUCGGAGUACUUUUGGCAUUGCACCCGGAAUGCGUGUUUCCCGCAAGGACAAGGCUACCGCUGCAAACAAUACUAAGUAAAAAACCAGCAACUGGUGUGUGACACAGACGCAUGAAUUAGCAGCUGUACGAGGUGUUCAAAGAAUAAAAUAUUGUGAAUAAAAUUAAAUACCCCAGACUUCAGUGGGCUGCUCACUUAGUGCGAAUGUUGGAAGAAUGAAUAGCGAAUAUUUAACAGAGAACCGGAUAGACGCCGGCGAUUUCGUGGAAGACCAUGGACACGCUGGCUGCAUGAGAUGGAAUCGGACCUGGGACUGGAGGAAGAUCGCCCAAGACAGUCGAUGGUGGAGCUCUACAAUACGCUAGGCAUAAGUGUAUCGACGGUGUAGCCAACCAGGUGUUUAGAUCAUUACAUAUGAAUCUUUACAGAUCAUAUAUAAACUUCAGGAGCGAUUUUCAACUAAUGGUCGACUUGAUAUUAUUAUGGUACUUCAAAAUACUUCUGCAAUUGUUGAUUUCAACUAUGUCGAAUGAACACGGUAAGGGCGUCGUUGAAGUCUUUGGCCCGAUGUCAUUAUCUUACAAACAGAUCAGUAGAAAUCAUUUCCAACCAAAUGGACAAAUGCAUUUAAUAUUACUGUUAACGAAGCAAAAAUGCAGAUACAUGUAUUUUAUAUUUUAAAUGGAAGUCAAAGAUUGAAUUUCAAAAAAAGAAGAAAAAUGAGCAAGUGUAGUUACACGAACACAGUUAUUUUC